This 1064-nucleotide small RNA is filed under the name Vigna angularis var. angularis. RNAcentral's name for it is "Non-protein coding transcript". The record is from RNAcentral. Lineage: Eukaryota; Viridiplantae; Streptophyta; Magnoliopsida; Fabales; Fabaceae.
GUCAGUCCAAUGCUUACUGUUUGAGUGAUUUCUAAUCUUUUUGCAUUUGCUUGCUGUUGGGUACUUGUGGUGGCUAGGAAUUGAUAAUUGGACAGUGCUAAAACCUCCCAACACUCUUAAACAAGGCAUACAAUAGCUUGGCUUUAUUGAAUAGCAAAGAAAAAAAAAAACAGCCACAUGCACAUCACGGCCCACAUGAAAAGCUUUUGGAUUUUAAAAUUGGAAAGUGGAGUGUUACGGAGAAUGGAUGGCAGCACGCAUGAAUUGGAGAAAGUGGUCAGAAACAUCAUUUCUUUCUUUUAAAAUUUGGUGCAUGGUGAUUAGGAAGAAAGGCACCGAGAGAGAUUAGGAGGUGCAGCCCAUGUGCAAAAGGCAAUUAACAAUGACAUUCCAGCAAAAGCAAAAGGUACACGGUCCAACAGCUUUUGAAGAAACAGCAUGCCUUUCCACCGGUCCAGCAAGCUAGGAGGUGUACACGGAAAUCCAUCCACGCUCCAGCAUCACCACGGCCCAACAUGUUUCUUCAUUUUCUAGCAGCUCCCAUCCAGCAGCACGCCCAAGUCCACGGUCCAGCCUGAAGAGGUGUAGCCCUGGUGCAGUUGGCGCGUCCAACUGGCUUUGGAGGGAGGUGUACACGGAAAUCCAUCCACGCUCCAGCAUCACCACGGCCCAACAUGUUUCUUCAUUUUCUAGCAGCUCCCAUCCAGCAGCACGCCCAAGUCCACGGUCCAGCCUGAAGAGGUGUAGCCCUGGUGCACUUGGCUCGUCCAACUGGCUUUGGAGGGAGGUGAACACGGAGAUUAGAAGUUCAUGGUCCAGCCCAUACGCAUCCACAGGCAGCAGACAGGCCAUCACUUGAGUCUGGGUCCAGCGGGCACAGAAAAGAGAAGGGAAGAGCGGGAGAAAGAAAAGCACGCAUAGGGGGGCAUCCCGCCGCCACCUAGAGUUUUUUUGGUUUUCUUUGCUUUGAAGAGGGGAGCAGCACGUUGAGAGAAUGGAGGGUUACGGUUGAGCUGGAAGAGUUGAGCUGACACAUGGAGAAAGGGACGUGAAAGAAGGGAAGU